CGGGGUGAGUAAUGUCUGGGAGACUGCCUGAUGGAGGGGGAUAACUACUGGAAACGGUAGCUAAUACCGCAUAACGUCGCAAGACCAAAGAGGGGGACCUUCGGGCCUCUUGCCAUCGGAUGUGCCCAGAUGGGAUUAGCUAGUAGGUGGGGUAACGGCUCACCUAGGCGACGAUCCCUAGCUGGUCUGAGAGGAUGGCCAGCCACACUGGAACUGAGACACGGUCCAG
Molecule: ribosomal RNA, 229 nt
Filed under: uncultured bacterium
Lineage: Bacteria
Description: partial 16S ribosomal RNA
Rfam family: Bacterial small subunit ribosomal RNA
Source: RNAcentral